GACGAACGCUGGCGGCGUGCUUAACACAUGCAAGUCGAACGGAAAGGCCCUGCUUUUGUGGGGUGCUCGAGUGGCGAACGGGUGAGUAACACGUGAGUAACCUGCCCUUGACUUUGGGAUAACUUCAGGAAACUGGGGCUAAUACCGGAUAGGAGCUCCUGCUGCAUGGUGGGGGUUGGAAAGUUUCGGCGGUUGGGGAUGGACUCGCGGCUUAUCAGCUUGUUGGUGGGGUAGUGGCUUACCAAGGCUUUGACGGGUAGCCGGCCUGAGAGGGUGACCGGCCACAUUGGGAGUGAGAGCGGCCCGAGCCCCCUCCGGGAGGAGGAGGGGGGGAAUAUUGCAAAAUGGGGGGAGCCCGUAUGCAGCACCGCCGCGUGGGGAAGGACGGCUUUCGGUUUGAAACCCGCUUCCCCCGGGGAAAAAGUGGGAGGGAGGGUAGUGGAUAAAGAGACCCGGACAAACUCGGUC
This 468-nucleotide ribosomal RNA is filed under the name uncultured bacterium. RNAcentral's name for it is "partial 16S ribosomal RNA". It matches the Rfam family "Bacterial small subunit ribosomal RNA", at positions 28 to 507 of the family's 1533-position model. The record is from RNAcentral.